Ixodes scapularis (black-legged tick) is the source of this 73-nucleotide non-coding RNA. Lineage: Eukaryota; Metazoa; Arthropoda; Arachnida; Ixodida; Ixodidae. The record is from Rfam.
UCCUGGUUAGCUCAGCUGGUAAAGCUCUCCACUAAAAAUGGAGAAGUCACUGGUUCAAUACAAGGACUAGGCG